Molecule: non-coding RNA, 770 nt
Organism: Callorhinus ursinus (northern fur seal)
Lineage: Eukaryota; Metazoa; Chordata; Mammalia; Carnivora; Otariidae
Source: RefSeq, a predicted model, not a curated record
CACCAACAAUAUUGAGUGGGAGGGGCAAGUCAUAGAAAAAUGUAAUCAUUAUGAUUCUACUUAAAGUUCUAAAACAUUCAGCUCUCUUUGCCGCAUCUCCUGCGAGAAUGACCAUUCUCAGCAAUCAGACUGUCGACAUUCCAGAAAAUGUCGACAUCACUCUGAAGGGAAGCACAGUUAUUGUGAAGGGACCCAGAAGAACACUGAGAAGGGACUUCAAUCACAUCAAUGUAGAACUCAGUCUUCUUGGAAAGAAAAAGAAGAGGCUCCGAGUUGACAAAUGGUGGGGAAAUAGAAAAGAGCUGGCUACUGUUUGCACUAUCUGUAGUCAUGUACAAAACAUGAUCAAGGGCGUUACACUGGGCUUCUGUUACAAGAUGAGGUCUGUGUAUGCUCACUUCCCCAUCAACGUUGUUAUUCAGGAGAAUGGUUCUCUUGUUGAAAUCCGAAAUUUCUUGGGUGAGAAAUACAUCUGCAGGGUUCGGAUGAGGCCAGGUGUUGCUUGUUCUGUAUCUCAAGCCCAAAAAGAUGAGUUAAUUCUUGAAGGAAAUGACAUUGAACUUGUAUCGAACUCAGCUGCUUUGAGUCAGCAAGCCACAACUGUUGAAAACAAGGAUAUCAGAAAGUUUUUGGAUGGUACCUAUGUUUCUGAAAAAGGAACAGUUCAGCAGGCUGAUGAAUAAGAUCUGAGUUGUCCAUCUACAGAAACAGCAAGAUGCCGGAUGAUUUUUCAGACUUGUGAUAUUUUAAAUAUGCAAUAAAAGCUAUAC